Molecule: long non-coding RNA, 267 nt
Filed under: Mus spicilegus (steppe mouse)
Lineage: Eukaryota; Metazoa; Chordata; Mammalia; Rodentia; Muridae
Description: lncRNA (ENSMSIG00000019033.1)
Source: RNAcentral
GUCACGGAUUGAGCUUUGAUGAGCUGGGUUUUCUUGAGCUCCGGAUCAUGUUUUUCCUCUUCAGGUACACAGCAAAAAGAAGUGCUAAUUGUCAAACACCUCAAUGAUUGUAAGAACAAGAAGGAGAAAGAAAAGAGACUGUUCUUCAAGUGGAAGGAAGGUUCAGACUAUCCUGUUUGUACAAUUUUGAAAAUUGAGAAAAUGUCAGUUGCUUGUGAGCUGUUGCAAUGAAAUAAAAAUCCUCAUCUAUUUAUUUAUUUGGUGUGU